Long non-coding RNA from Leptopilina boulardi, 1023 nucleotides. RefSeq lists it as uncharacterized. The transcript has 4 exons. NCBI's taxonomy places the organism in Eukaryota, Metazoa, Arthropoda, Insecta, Hymenoptera, Figitidae. The record is from RefSeq and is a predicted model, not a curated record.
AUUAAAAGCAUUCUUUUCGAUUAAUAUCGAUUAUUUUUUAUUGCAAUCAUGUUAGGUUAGUUUAUCAGUUUGACGUUUGACGGUUAACUAUUUUGCAGUUAUUUUUUUUUCUCAACUAAAACCUAUUUUACAGUCAGAAAAUAAGAUCUUGAUUAAUUAAAGUGAUCAUAUUUAAAAUAAUUUGAUAUAUUAAUAUUAUUUCUGAUAAACUUAUGUCAAUUUUGUACUAAUUGACUGCAACAGGAUAAUCACUUGUCUUUAUAAAAUUUGGACCUUAAACUCGUGUGUUUGCUAAACAGAGACACUUUCUAGCAGUUCUCAAAUGUCACUUUCAUUUUCUGCAACGUGAAUUUUUAUAUUACAUAAAAUAACGUUCUCAGAUUUAAAUAAUACACGUUUAGUUCUUCUCGAGCUUGACUUUUAUAACACACUGAAGCAUAUAUCAAAUUAGCAAAUCGGACUUUAUUCUACAUCAUAAAAGUUUCAGAAAUAAUUUGCAUCACAGAAUUUAUUGAAUCGAAUUCAUUAGACUAUCGUGAUUUCAAAAAUAAUGCAUAAUAUCCACGAAAAUAUAUUGAGGUUUCUAUCAUGGAUUUUUUUGCAAUAACAUGAAAUUCAUUUUUUAAUUAACGAUCACCGUAUGGGACAAUAAGAAAAUAAAUUUGUAACAAUGCUUGUAAAAAUAUGGAUUGAUUAGAUUGUUUUAUUCAAUAAAUCUUCAGGAUAAUCAUGCAGAAGGAUUAAAAUGACAAGGUUGACUAAUUAUUCCGUUUAAUAAGCAUAAGUAUUAAAUUGGAAUUUGUCCUGAAUAUACAUAGAAAUCUCUUAUUUAUCCGACACAUAGAAAACCUGAUUACAUCUGUUAUUUAAAAUGAUAGUGUCAACAAAUAUUUUUCCUUUUUUCGAAAAACAGUUUUUUUUUUGGAUCACUUUUACCAUUCGUCAACGUAAAAUAAUAAUAAAAAAAAGGAAAUGGAAAAAAAGGAGAAAAAUGAAAUUUGAAAUUUAGAUGCGAAUGAGGAU